Molecule: ribosomal RNA, 754 nt
Filed under: uncultured Chlorobiota bacterium
Lineage: Bacteria; Pseudomonadati; Chlorobiota
Description: bacterial SSU rRNA
Rfam family: Bacterial small subunit ribosomal RNA
Source: RNAcentral
GGUUUGUAAGUUAGAGGUGAAAUCCUGCAGCUUAACUGUAGAACUGCCUCUAAUACUGCAAAUCUUGAGUUCAGAAGAGAGUAGCGGAAUUCCAGGUGUAGUGGUGAAAUACGUAGAUAUCUGGAAGAACACCAGUGGCGAAGGCGGCUACUUGGUCUGCAACUGACGCUGAGGCGCGAAAGCGUGGGGAUCAAACAGGAUUAGAUACCCUGGUAGUCCACGCUGUAAACGAUGAAUACUAGGUGUUGGAUACAUUAGUAUCCAGUGCCGCAGUUAACGCAUUAAGUAUUCCACCUGGGGAGUACGAUCGCAAGGUUGAAACUCAAAGGAAUUGACGGGGGCCCGCACAAGCAGUGGAGCAUGUGGUUUAAUUCGAUGCAACGCGAAGAACCUUACCUAGGCUUGAAAAGCAAGUGACCGUCUGUGAAAGCAGAUUUCCCGCAAGGGCACUUGUACAGGUGCUGCAUGGCUGUCGUCAGCUCGUGCCGUGAGGUGUUGGGUUAAGUCUCGCAACGAGCGCAACCCCUACCAUUAGUUGCCAUCAGGUUAUGCUGGGCACUCUAAUGGGACUGCCUACGCAAGUAGUGAGGAAGGUGGGGAUGACGUCAAGUCAGCAUGGCCCUUACGUCUAGGGCCACACACGUGCUACAAUGGGUGUUACAACGGGUUGCUAAGCCGCGAGGUUAUGCUAAUCCCUUAAAGGCACCCUCAGUUCGGAUUGCAGUCUGAAACUCGACUGCAUGAAGCUGGAAUU